Molecule: non-coding RNA, 754 nt
Organism: Lupinus albus (white lupine)
Lineage: Eukaryota; Viridiplantae; Streptophyta; Magnoliopsida; Fabales; Fabaceae
Source: the annotation of a GenBank genome assembly
GGAGCUCGGGGGACGACCAGUGCCAACGAGCGGUUAACAUCUUCUGUAUCAAGAGGUAGGACUUCUAAACAGGAAGGUAAGCCGAGCCUGCAGUUGGAGUGUUAAAGGUAGCAGUCCCCGAGGUAAGACUUUCUAGAUUACCAUUCUCAGUCCCAUUAGUCCCUGACUCUGUCAAGCCAUCAGGAUCAGACAAGGAAGAAGGAGGAAAGUAAGCUAGAGAUAGCAGAUUAUCGGGCAGCGGCAGGAUUAAAUUCAUUUUUAGUUUAAGUUAUCGUUGCAGCCUUGGAUCGAGUUGCAGUGCUAAGAUAAUAUCCUGCUUUUUUCAAAGCAGCUAUCUUUUCUCUGGCCUUAGUUAUUAUAUAUAAUACGUUUUACACUCUUUAAGCUAUUGAUGUAGCCUCUUUUCGCUACCUACUAGAUCUUCGAGUGGAAGAUAUUUAAGUUCCUAUGGGAUGAAGCUUUCCUAGCCUCAAGUAUUCAUCUCAGAGGUAAUUUCAGAAAGUGAUGUCAGAUUAGCACGCUCUUGGGUUUAACUAACAAGGACUUUUCUUUCGCGGGCUACUAGCUGUAAGGCUCUGGUUUUUUUUCCCAGGUUAUGCCAUAAUCCUAUCGAACUAUUGGAUUUAUCGAUGGCUAUAUUCUUAACACACUUGCUGGUUACGGAAUAGGGGAUUAGCCCCCGACCUGUAGAUGCUCCGUAGCAAGUCUGGUUCUGUCUCGGGUAGUUCGACUAGUAGUAGUAGUAGCGAGCCAG